AAAAGUGACUGCAAAGCAUCUAACUACAUGACAUCUACCCCACCCCAUUGGUCAUGACUGGUGAUUCUGCAGAUCUGGCUACUUCAGUGCAUAUCCUCUUCCUCCCCCACCUCUCUAUGUAUAACCCUCCUGAAGCUGUAUGCGAGAUAGAAGGAUAACUUUCCCCACUAGAGGAAGGCUGGCCUUCAGUCAAAGAUAUAUGAGUAGCUGCAUUCCCUUAUAGAAUCUACAAAAACAGCACAGAGAAAAAGAAGAAAAAGAUGAAAUAUUUAAGCAAUAAAGGACUAUAAGACUGAUGAAAAUAGCCUUUAUAU
Molecule: unclassified non-coding RNA, 314 nt
Organism: Cricetulus griseus (Chinese hamster)
Lineage: Eukaryota; Metazoa; Chordata; Mammalia; Rodentia; Cricetidae
Gene: 7SK
Rfam family: 7SK RNA
About the family: 7SK was discovered as an abundant small nuclear RNA in the mid-70s but a possible function has only recently been suggested. Two independent studies have found that 7SK RNA binds the CDK9/cyclin T complex (known as elongation factor P-TEFb).
Source: Ensembl